AAUAUUAUAAUAUUACGCAGAGAAAGUUUUCGCUAUACCGUUGUUCGCCGUAUAAAAUAUGCGACUCGUACCAUCAAAAUAAUACCAUUAUUUAAUUAAAAUCAUAUAUAGAUAACGAAUAUUACAAGACGGAUUUGCCAUCAUUUUCUACACACUAUUAUUAUAUUAUAUUAUUUAUUGAUUUUUGUGAUAUGUAAAUAAUUAUUAUCGGUAUACGAUUAAAUUUCUAACACCUUAAUAUUCAAGUUGCCGCGAUAACUUCUCGUCAUAUUACUGUACGAAAACGAUGUAGGUAAUAACGGACUCGAAACAAUGCAAUAUUCGUGAAUAAGCAAUAAUAUUAGCAAGGCUGAACGAGUUAAAGAGUUAAUUUCCGACAUAAAAGUUAAGUCACCGUAUCGUUUAACUUAGCUUUUAACCUUUGAUUUUGGUUUUUAUCAGUUUGAUUUUUAAUAUAAUUAUUUUUCAUUUUUUAUUUUUUCGUAGAAACUUGAUAAAUAACGAAUUAAAUUUGAAUUUACAUUACGGUAAGAUUACAUUGCGUGUAGCUCAGAGUUAAAAAAAAAAAUGGUAUAUAGAUACUUUGAUAUUUUCUGAAAAACUCCCUCGUGUUUUACCACAUUGAUCACACUUUUUUUCAAAAUAAUUACAAACUCUAGGUUCAAUCGUUUUCACUGUGACAAUAGACAAAUAAGUUUAUUGACAUUUAAAAAGUAAAUUAAACCGUCGAAAUAACUUUUAAGUUAAUUGUUUUCUAUUUACCUAACUUAAUCGAGUACAAAUUAUUUAUUAACUUGUACAGCCUUGAACGUUAUGUGGGUCGGGUACGUUUUCGUCGUUUACAAACAAGUAUUUUUGAUCAGGUAGUAUCGCUAGUAGAAAAACGAUAAGUGGGAAUUGUAGGCUACAACGGCCUGCAAUUAUAUCAACGAUAAAAAAAAAAAAAAAAAUCCGCCACGCUCAAACCUGAUGGUAUUGUUCUAGGGAAGUUAGUGCCGUCCUAAGCACAUAUCGAAAACCUUUAGUAGUAGGUAGUUGAAAAACCAUGUCGAGUAAAAAUAAUAGAGGCGGAUAGUGGAAAAUGCCAAGUCGGAUAAGAGGUCAUAUUUUGAAGUAGACAAUUCGCCUGGCGGGGCGGUAAUGACACGAUGCAUAAAGCAUUAUACGAAAUUAUGGUAUUUUUUAUUAUGAUAUUUUGAAAGGGAACGGUUGGUCAAAUUGAAAUAUUCCGUCCGGUCGCCUAUCGAUUUUUUGACAACCAGCAACCAUACCUAUCGGUUUUCGAUCUGUUUUAAUGAUUUCUGUAAGUAUUAAAACGCAGCGGGGGAAAAGUCCAAGUCGUUAUCGUGUUUUCAUUGGUGUACUGAUAGUAUUAUUGUUUCGGUUGGUCGAAUAAAU
Cinara cedri is the source of this 1398-nucleotide non-coding RNA. Lineage: Eukaryota; Metazoa; Arthropoda; Insecta; Hemiptera; Aphididae. The record is from the annotation of a GenBank genome assembly.